UUAUGCUAAGUGGGGAGGUAGCGGUGCCUUGUACCUGCAAUCCGCUAUAGCAGGGCUGAAUUCCUGUUGUGAGGCUUGGUUCUGUUAAGGACUGACUCAAGUAAGUGGUGAUGAAGGUUGGGUCCUGAGCAACUUGAAGUUAUUAAACCCCGUCAGAUCCGGAAGGAAGCAGCGGUAGAUAAUCUGAGAGUGUGACGCAGGGUAGCCUGAUUGGAGCAAGCUGCUUGAGUAACGCUUGGGAGACCUUGUCAAGCUAUGGGUGCAUAA
This 267-nucleotide signal recognition particle RNA is filed under the name Candidatus Poribacteria bacterium. RNAcentral's name for it is "signal recognition particle sRNA large type". It matches the Rfam family "Bacterial large signal recognition particle RNA". From Rfam's summary of the family: The signal recognition particle (SRP) is a universally conserved ribonucleoprotein involved in the co-translational targeting of proteins to membranes. Archaeal SRP consists of a 7S RNA and homologues of the eukaryotic SRP19 and SRP54 proteins. The record is from RNAcentral. Lineage: Bacteria; Candidatus Poribacteria.